Molecule: ribosomal RNA, 1171 nt
Filed under: uncultured bacterium
Lineage: Bacteria
Description: bacterial SSU rRNA
Rfam family: Bacterial small subunit ribosomal RNA
Source: RNAcentral
CCUACGGGAGGCAGCAGUGGGGAAUAUUGCACAAUGGGCGCAAGCCUGAUGCAGCCAUGCCGCGUGUAUGAAGAAGGCCUUCGGGUUGUAAAGUACUUUCAGCAGUGAGGAAGGGGGUGUCGUUAAUAGCGGCAUCUCUUGACGUUAGCUGCAGAAGAAGCACCGGCUAACUCCGUGCCAGCAGCCGCGGUAAUACGGAGGGUGCGAGCGUUAAUCGGAAUUACUGGGCGUAAAGCGCAUGCAGGUGGUUUGUUAAGUCAGAUGUGAAAGCCCGGGGCUCAACCUCGGAACUGCAUUUGAAACUGGCAAACUAGAGUACUGUAGAGGGGGGUAGAAUUUCAGGUGUAGCGGUGAAAUGCGUAGAGAUCUGAAGGAAUACCAGUGGCGAAGGCGGCUCCCUGGACAGAUACUGACACUCAGAUGCGAAAGCGUGGGGAGCAAACAGGAUUAGAUACCCUGGUAGUCCACGCCGUAAACGAUGUCUACUUGGAGGUUGUGGCCUUGAGCCGUGGCUUUCGGAGCUAACGCGUUAAGUAGACCGCCUGGGGAGUACGGUCGCAAGAUUAAAACUCAAAUGAAUUGACGGGGGCCCGCACAAGCGGUGGAGCAUGUGGUUUAAUUCGAUGCAACGCGAAGAACCUUACCUACUCUUGACAUCCAGAGAACUUUCCAGAGAUGGAUUGGUGCCUUCGGGAACUCUGAGACAGGUGCUGCAUGGCUGUCGUCAGCUCGUGUUGUGAAAUGUUGGGUUAAGUCCCGCAACGAGCGCAACCCUUAUCCUUGUUUGCCAGCGAGUAAUGUCGGGAACUCCAGGGAGACUGCCGGUGAUAAACCGGAGGAAGGUGGGGACGACGUCAAGUCAUCAUGGCCCUUACGAGUAGGGCUACACACGUGCUACAAUGGCGCAUACAGAGGGCAGCCAACUCGCGAGAGUGAGCGAAUCCCAAAAAGUGCGUCGUAGUCCGGAUUGGAGUCUGCAACUCGACUCCAUGAAGUCGGAAUCGCUAGUAAUCGUAGAUCAGAAUGCUACGGUGAAUACGUUCCCGGGCCUUGUACACACCGCCCGUCACACCAUGGGAGUGGGCUGCAAAAGAAGUGGGUAGUUUAACCUUCGGGAGGACGCUCACCACUUUGUGGUUCAUGACUGGGGUGAAGUCGUAACAAGGUAACC